AGAGCCUUAUAUUCUAUUGCGAGUUAUAUGAGUGUCUGAAAUUCAGACACACUAUACGGGUGUCCGAAUUUCGGACACUCUUAUAUUAUAUUGCGCGCGAGUUACAUGGGUGUCUGAAUUUCAGACAGCCAUAUAACUCGCAAUAGAAUAUAAGAGUGU
Molecule: microRNA precursor, 159 nt
Filed under: Paramuricea clavata
Lineage: Eukaryota; Metazoa; Cnidaria; Anthozoa; Malacalcyonacea; Plexauridae
Source: RNAcentral